This 80-nucleotide small nucleolar RNA is filed under the name Trichoderma virens Gv29-8. RNAcentral describes it as "a. fumigatus snoRNA Afu_294". The record is from RNAcentral. Lineage: Eukaryota; Fungi; Ascomycota; Sordariomycetes; Hypocreales; Hypocreaceae.
CAUCAUGAUGACUUUCAUUAUUAUCUACAUUGGCCGAGUUCCUCGUGACGAAAAAAAGUUUCACCUUGGAGAACUGAUAU